UACGGAGGGGGCUAGCGUUGUUCGGAAUUACUGGGCGUAAAGCGCGCGUAGGCGGACCUGCAAGUCGGGGGUGAAAGCCCGAGGCUCAACCUCGGAACUGCCUUCGAUACUGCGGGUCUCGAGUCCGGGAGAGGUGAGUGGAAUUCCGGGUGUAGCGGUGAAAUGCGUAGAUAUCAGGAGGAACACCGGUGGCGAAGGCGGAUCUCUGGGCCAUUACUGACGCUGAGGAGCGAAAGCGUGGGGAGCGAACAGG
RNAcentral lists this ribosomal RNA (253 nucleotides) under uncultured bacterium. Its description in RNAcentral is "partial 16S ribosomal RNA". It matches the Rfam family "Bacterial small subunit ribosomal RNA", at positions 524 to 776 of the family's 1533-position model. The record is from RNAcentral.